This 319-nucleotide ribosomal RNA is filed under the name uncultured Pseudomonadota bacterium. RNAcentral's name for it is "bacterial SSU rRNA". It matches the Rfam family "Bacterial small subunit ribosomal RNA", at positions 30 to 351 of the family's 1533-position model. The record is from RNAcentral. Lineage: Bacteria; Pseudomonadati; Pseudomonadota.
AUUGAACGCUGGCGGCAUGCCUUACACAUGCAAGUCGAACGGUAGCGCGGGGUAACCUGGCGACGAGUGGCGAACGGGUGAGUAAUGCAUCGGAACGUGCCCUGGAAUGGGGGAUAACGUAGCGAAAGUUACGCUAAUACCGCAUAUUCUGUGAGCAGGAAAGCAGGGGAUCGCAAGACCUUGCGUUCUGGGAGCGGCCGAUGUCGGAUUAGCUAGUUGGUGGGGUAAUGGCCUACCAAGGCGACGAUCCGUAGCGGGUCUGAGAGGAUGAUCCGCCACACUGGGACUGAGACACGGCCCAGACUCCUACGGGAGGCAG